AUUGAACGCUGGCGGCAGGCCUAACACAUGCAAGUCGAGCGGAAGCAGGGGGCUUGCUGGUGGAUUCAGGGGCGGACGGGUGGGACAUGCCUAGGGGUCUGCCUUGAAGUGGGGGAUAACGUCCGAAUACGGGCGCUAAUACCGCAUACGACCUGAGGGCGCAGUUGGGGAUGUUCGGGCUUCACGCUAUCAGAUGUGCGUAGGUCGGAUUCGAUAGUUGGUGGGGUAAAGGGCUACCAAGGCGACGAUCGGUAACUUGUCUGAGAGGAUGAUCAGUCACACUGGAAGUGAGACACGGUCCAGACUCCGACGGGAGGCCGCAGUGCGGAAUAUUGGGCGAUGCGGGAAUGCCUGAUCUAGCCAUGCCGCGUGUGUGAUGAAGGUCUUCGGAUGGUAAAGCGCUUUAAGUUGGGGGGAAGGGAAGUACGUUAAUACGUGGCUGUAUUGACGGUACCGACAGAAUAAGCACCGGCUAACUUCGUG
RNAcentral lists this ribosomal RNA (483 nucleotides) under uncultured bacterium. Its description in RNAcentral is "partial 16S ribosomal RNA". It matches the Rfam family "Bacterial small subunit ribosomal RNA", at positions 30 to 507 of the family's 1533-position model. The record is from RNAcentral.